AAAAUGUAUUGUUAGGUGAGGCUCCUAUACAGAAAUAAGCUGCUGCCGCGAAAGGAUCGAGAGACCCUUAGUUGGUUGAACAGGAAUGAUCGUGAAGGUCAUUCAUAAUGUAGCUGAUGAUUUCUAUCUACGCUGUAUAGUGCUAAAGCUCAACGAUAGAAGACUAUUU
Molecule: small RNA, 169 nt
Filed under: Enterococcus canis
Lineage: Bacteria; Bacillati; Bacillota; Bacilli; Lactobacillales; Enterococcaceae
Description: Magnesium sequence
Rfam family: M-box riboswitch aptamer (ykoK leader)
About the family: M-box riboswitch, also know as ykoK leader is described as a metaloregulatory RNA that sense divalent metals and function as a genetic control element of genes related to divalent metal transport in bacteria. It was first reported upstream of the B.subtilis ykoK gene and genes with related functions in other bacteria.
Source: Rfam by way of RNAcentral